AUGCCCCAUGACGUAGUAGCCACUUUCAGUAAACAUAUCAGACGUCACAGAAAUCUCCAACUCUUUAUUAAGCUCCCCGAAGAAGAAGAGAAGAAAAAAAGGGGGAGAAGUCAAAGACUCUACCCCCGCCCAAACAACUCCCCCUGCAAUUCUGGCACAUUUGCGCUUCAAGGUCACGCGCGUGAGCGGGAACGAGAGGGAGAGAGAGAGCGAGGAAGAGAGAAUGCAGAAAAACAAAGCCAAGCCCCAAAGAAAUCGUGGAAGGGGGUGGAAGGGGGCGAAGGGGGCUUGACGGCGGAGCGCAUAGUUGAGCAACCACUUGUUGUUGCUGCCGCUUUUAUUGCUCCUCUUCAGCCAGCGCCAGUUUAAGGCCACCAAAUAUGCACUGGGAGAAACAAAUAGCACAUACAUCUUAACAAAAAACACUUAAAGAUUAUAGAUUUCUGGAUAUU
This is a non-coding RNA of Drosophila melanogaster (fruit fly), 452 nucleotides long. NCBI's taxonomy places the organism in Eukaryota, Metazoa, Arthropoda, Insecta, Diptera, Drosophilidae. The record is from Ensembl.